AAAAUGUCAUUGCCUAGCAGUAACCGGGCUGCAGUCAGUGCUUCAAUCUAGAGGCCAAUUCCAAUGACGUUUGUUCAUCCCACCUAAGUAUUCCAGUCUUUGUGAUGCAUUAGAGGGUUGGUCUAACUGUAAGAGAAGCACAACUGAUGUUUCUGAUUCCUUAUGCAUUGCAGGCUGGACAACAGGCUGGACAACACUAUUCACUAAACAGAAUAGUGAGAUGUAUGCAUUGCAGGCUGGACAACAGGCUGGACAACACUAUUCACUAAACAGAAUAGUGAGACGUCACCUGAGCCAGUCAAACCUGAAGUCAAGGCUACAGAGAAGAAAGAACUAUUUGAAUCAAAACCCAAAUUUCAGGAGCACAUCAUUCAAGCCUCUAACCCAGCAGAAUCAAUAAAAAGGCCAAGUCCAGGUAAACCAAUGACAAAUUUGGAACUAAAAAGUAUCUGCCUGCCUAAAACAAGCAUUUGAUAAACUGUCGUAAGGGAAUGAAUAAGAUAAGAAAGAGACAGUGAAGAAAUCAAGAUUGGGACCUCAUGUGAAAAUGGAGGGUGUUCAAAGACACCUCAGGGUGCAUAGAAUCUAGAGAAAGCCUGUGUCUAUCAUUCUGGAGCACCUCUUUUCCAGGAGGAGAUGAAACUCUGAAACUAUUGAAAAUAAAAGAAACUUCUGAUUUUAGUAUGUUCUUAGCCCAAGAGGGCUGUGCAAAAAGGAAACACACGUAGACCAUGGAAAAAAAAUGCUGGGAACAAAGUUAUUCCAUGUAGACAUGCCUGGCAUCAGGCAAGAGGUCACAAUUUCCAUAGAUGCUAAAAACUCACUUCCAGAACUUAGUUGAGUAGAAGCAAAUAGUACAUUAUUAAAUGCGUACACUGCAUUUGAAUGUGGCUCAUUGCAUGGUGGCUCAUGCCUAUGAUCCCAGCACUUUGGGAGGCCAAGGCCAGUGGAUCACUUGAGCCUAGGAGUUCAAGUCCAGCCUGGCCGACAUGACGAAACCCGUCUCUACUAAAAUACAAAAGUUAGCCAGGUGUAGUGGUACAUGCCUGUAAUCCCAGCUGAUUGGGAGUCUGAGGCAUGAGAAUCACUUGAACCUGGGAAGCAGAGGUUGCAGUAACCGAGGUUGCACCACUGUACUCCAGCCUGGGCAACAGAGCAAGACUCUGUCUCAACAACAACAUCAACAACAAAACCAACGCAUUGUAUUUGAAGAAGAGAAGAAAUUUCAUCAAAAUGCAAAAUUAUGGAUUGUGAUUGUUGAAAAGUGAAGUUAGGUAGCUAUGACUGCAAUGCAGACAGAGAGCACAGUAAGAAUAGCUGGUCCUAUGCAAUAGGCACACCUUGAAUUGCCUGCAACCAAAAGGCAAGAAAAACAAACAGAAGAUACAACAGAUUGA
This 1397-nucleotide long non-coding RNA is filed under the name Homo sapiens (human). RNAcentral describes it as "non-protein coding lnc-SMIM31-7:1". The record is from RNAcentral. Lineage: Eukaryota; Metazoa; Chordata; Mammalia; Primates; Hominidae.